RNAcentral lists this long non-coding RNA (328 nucleotides) under Homo sapiens (human). RNAcentral describes it as "non-protein coding lnc-SNRPC-1:1". Lineage: Eukaryota; Metazoa; Chordata; Mammalia; Primates; Hominidae. The record is from RNAcentral.
GGAGACCAGGACACGGUGACUGCUUUCCUGCCGGGUGGCAUAGGGGAGCUUAACAAGAACUACUAUCCCAAUUUCCUGAUGGUGGAGAAGCAUACAACCAUCAGUGAGAUCAAAGACACUUUCCAGCAGUUUCUGAACGGGACAACAUUGGCAUCAUCCUCAUCAACCUGUACAUUACAGAGAUGGUGUGGCACGCCUUGGAUACACACCAGUGCCCCAUUCCAGUCAUCCUGGAGAUCCCCUCCGAGGAGCACCCGUAUGACACUGUGCCAAGGAAUCCAUCCUGGGCAGAGCCAGGGACAUGUUCUCUGCCGAAGACCUGCGCUAG